GGAGAGGUGGCCGAGUGGUUGAAGGCGAUCGCCUGGAAAGCGGUUAUGCGGGUCAAACUGCAUCGUGAGUUCGAAUCUCAUCCUCUCCGCCA
Molecule: transfer RNA, 92 nt
Filed under: Rhodospirillaceae bacterium
Lineage: Bacteria; Pseudomonadati; Pseudomonadota; Alphaproteobacteria; Rhodospirillales; Rhodospirillaceae
Also listed under: 1 other name
Description: tRNA-Ser
Rfam family: tRNA
About the family: Transfer RNA (tRNA) molecules are approximately 80 nucleotides in length.
Source: RNAcentral